This 403-nucleotide ribosomal RNA is filed under the name uncultured bacterium. RNAcentral describes it as "bacterial SSU rRNA". It matches the Rfam family "Bacterial small subunit ribosomal RNA", at positions 11 to 419 of the family's 1533-position model. The record is from RNAcentral.
GUUUGAUCCUGGCUCAGAGCGAACGUUUGCGGCGGGCCUAACACAUGCAAGUCGAACGGGCUAGCAAUAGUCAGUGGCGCACGGGUGCGUAACACGUGGGUAAUCAACCCUUCAGCUCGGGAUAACGCCUUGAAAGGGGCGCUAAUACCGGAUACGACGCGAGGAGCUUCGGCUGCUUGCGGGAAAGAUUCGCAAGGAUCUCUGAAGGACGAGCCUGCGGCCCAUCAGCUAGUUGGUGAGGUAAGAGCUCACCAAGGCGAAGACGGGUAGCUGGUCUGAGAGGAUGAUCAGCCACACUGGAACUGAGACACGGUCCAGACUCCUACGGGAGGCAGCAGUGGGGAAUAUUGCGCAAUGGGCGAAAGCCUGACGCAGCCACGCCGCGUGAGCGAUGAAGGCCUUC